This 1201-nucleotide long non-coding RNA is filed under the name Ananas comosus (pineapple). Its description in RNAcentral is "long non-coding RNA (ACOM_LNC009447)". Lineage: Eukaryota; Viridiplantae; Streptophyta; Magnoliopsida; Poales; Bromeliaceae. The record is from RNAcentral.
UUUUUUUUAAAAAAACUACAUAUAUAUAUAUAUAUAUAGAGAGAGAGAGAGAGAGAGAGAGAGAGUGUUGAGCUAGAAUACUAUCGGUAGUAAACGAGCCGUUUUACUACCAAUUUGUUUUCGAUGAUAGAGCUUUCAAAUUGACGAUCGGCUCCGUUAAAUAUGAUCUAAACCAUUUAAACUACCUAGAAAUCAAAUUUCACGCACUUUCGAUAUUGUUCUUUUAUCCAUCAAGUGAAUAGAAAAAUGAAUGGCUGAAAAUGAAUACUCUUUAAAAAAUGAUGAUAGGAGUCUUGUAAUCAAGAUCAAGAGUAUAGAUCUUGUUUUAAAUAGUUUAAAGAAUUUUUAAACAAAAAUUCAAUUGAUUUGGAUAUCUUUACGCCGUUAAACGAGAAAACGCCUCUUAUUGACCAUUAAAAUUACAAAUUUUGAAACUCUUUGAUCAUUAGGCAAAUGAUGUCGAAAAGAUUUGAAAUUUGAUUUCUAAACAUUUCAAGUGGUAUAGAUCAUGUUCAACGGAGCCUCGUCAAUUUGAAAGUUCUAUCAUCGAAAACAAAUCGGUAGUAAAACAGCUCGUUUACUACCGAUAGUAUUCUAGCACAACUCUCUCUCUCUCUCUCUCUAUAUAUAUAUAGGCUAGGAUUACUAUACUCUUAUGAGUAUAGACUCCCUUGUACUCAUAAAUUUUUAACCGUUGAUCGAUGGGAUAUGUGGUUAGGAUGAUGGUGGUCCCCACUUAGAAUAAUAGUGGCCCCCUAGGGUUGAGUGGGUAGUUGGUUGAAUAGUAUAAUCUAACGGAUAAAAUGAUCAAUAAAAUAAAUCUAAAGGCCAAAAACUUAUGAGUAUAAGGGAGCCAAUACUCAUAAAAGUAUAGUAGCCGAACUCUAUAUAUAUAUAUAUAUAUAUAUAUAUAUAUAUAUAUAUAUAUAUAUAUAUAUAGAACUAGGCUAAUAUUCUAUUAAUAGCACCAAGUCAUUAGUGCUACCAAGUUUUUGGCCAUUAGAUUAAGUGAUGUGCAGUUAGGAUGAUGUCGGCCCCCUAGGGUUGAGUAGGUGGUUGAUUGAAUAGUAUAAUCUAACGUGUGAAAAUGAUCGAAAAGAUAGAUCUAACGGCGAAAAACUUGGUAGCACCAAAUGCUUCGUGCUAUUAAUAGCAUAGUAUAUAGACCAUUAAAUUUUUUUUUCAGAUAAAUCAUAUAUAA